UCCUGACCCCAUGAUCCACCCGCCUUGGCGUCCCAAAGUGCUGGGAUUACAGGCGUGAGCCAUGGUGCCUGGCCCUUUAAUUCCCCCAAUAUUUUUUUAUCUGCAUUAAUUUAUUAUUUCAAGUGAACUUCCAUCUCAAAUACAUGGUUCUCAGACGCUUCCAUGAACUCUCAAGUGUGACUUAUUACAGCCUGGGGCUCCUUGGAGCACAGUGUGCCAGUGACCUAGUGGAAGGCCAUGAGAAAGCCAGGUUCACUGUUCACUGUGCAGCAUCUCCCUCCAUGGUCUUCCUGGAGCCUAUUCCCACUGCACUGAGCAUUCCGUGUGUCCAGAGGUAGGGUUAGCAGGGAUAGAUGGACUUCCUGCUUAUUUUCUGUUCACAUUUCCACUGACCUUCAAUCCUGUAGACUGCAAAGAUUGAGCCAGCUGAGCCCCCAAAGAGACUCAGCAGUGCAGAAUGUGGGCCUGAGUGGGAGGACUGCCCAGCCGCACACCUUCCAGCUCUGUUCUUCCCGGGCCCUGGAUGCUUCUUGCCACGCUGUCCUCUGAAAUGACGCUCUGCCCCAGCAGACCUGUGCGGGCCCAGCACAGGGAUCACAUUGUCGGGGUGACCUGGAUCCUACUUGAAGCCUUUGAGCUGGACUGUGGCUUUAUCCCUGAGGCCAGGCUUCAUGUCCAGAUGGCCAUGCCAGAGGUUGACGUGGCAGAGAAGGAGUGUGACACAGGCCAGUGGAGCGAGUGGAGCCAGCCUGUGUGCUUCCAGGCUCCCCAGAGACAAGGACCCACCCGAGGAUGGGUCACCAUGGCUUUGGAGCACCUGGUAGUGUGGCAUGUCCACAGUGAAGACCAGAGUUUCGUUGUCCUUAAGACUGACCUGGGAGACGUGGCUGGAGGCCAUUGAGGAAGACGGCACCGAAAGCGAAGGAAGCUCCUGCUCCUCCUAAAGCCGAAGCCAAAGCGAAGGCUUUAAAGGCCAAGAAGGCAGUGUUGAAAGGUGUCCGCAGCCACACGCAAAAAAGAAGAUCCGCAUGUCACUCACCUUCAGGCGGCCCAAGACACUGCGACUCCGGAGGCAGCCCAGAUAUCCUCGGAAGAGCACCCCCAGGAGAAACAAGCUUGGCCACUAUGCUAUCAUCAAGUUUCCGCUGACCACUGAGUCGGCCGUGAAGAAGAUAGAAGAAAACAACACGCUUGUGUUCACUGUGGAUGUUAAAGCCAACAAGCACCAGAUCAGACAGGCUGUGAAGAAGCUCUAUGACAGUGAUGUGGCCAAGGUCACCACCCUGAUUUGUCCUGAUAAAGAGAAGAAGGCAUAUGUUCGACUUGCUCCUGAUUAUGAUGCUUUCGAUGUUGUAACAAAAUUGGGAUCACCUAAACUGAGUCCAGCUGGCUAACUCUAAAUAUAUGUGUAUCUUUUCAGCAUAAAAAAAUAAUGUUUUUCAUAAGAAUGACAACUUAAUUAGAAUCAAAUCUAUAAGCUUUAAGAUUUUACGUUUCUAGUAAGUAUAAUAUUAGCUUAUUUGACUAGAACUCAAGCAGAAUAGGAAUUUAUGCUUGUUUUAUAUUCAAUAAUGAUAAUUUUGAAGAUAUAGUUGUUUUAUUACACCAAAAAUACUAUAUUAAUCUUAUUUAACUAAGUUUUAUCCAAAUCAUGUUAACUUAAGAAACAUUUGAUCAGUUCCUAUAUUUCUAGGAGUUUGGUGAAUAUUUAUUUAUAAAUGCUUAUUUUUUUCCAAGCCAAGUUAGAAUAGAGCACUUUUAGAGGAUUUCAUAAAUGAAUUUUGUAAUGCUCUCUGGAGUUAAGAAAAUAUCACAUAUACAUAACAUACAUUAAUAGAUACACAAACACAAAUAGAGAUUUCAUAGCUUUCAUCCUGAAAUUUCAGCCAUGAAUCAGGCAUAAAUAUUCUGAUGGUUAAUUUCAGACAUCUACUUGAUCGGAUUGAGAGACACACAUAGCUGGUCAAACACGAUUUCAGCCAUGAAUCAGGCAUAAAUAUUCUGAUGGUUAAUUUUAGACAUCUACUUGAGUGGAUUAAGAGACACACAUAGCUGGUCAAACAUGAUUUCAGCCAUGAAUCAGCCAUAAAUAUUCUGAUGGUUAAUUUUAGACAUCUACUUGAGUGGAUUAAGAGACACACAUAGCUGGUCAAACACAAUUUCAGCCAUGAAUCAGGCAUAAAUAUUCUGACGGUUAAUUUUAGACAUCUACUUGAUCGGAUUGAGAGACACACAUAGCUGGUCAAACACGAUUUCAGCCAUGAAUCAGGCAUAAAUAUUCUGACGGUUAAUUUUAGACAUCUACUUGAGUGGAUUGAGAGACACACAUAGCUGGUCAAACACAAUUUCAGCCAUGAAUCAGGCAUAAAUAUUCUGACGGUUAAUUUUAGACAUCUACUUGAGUGGAUUGAGAGACACACAUAGCUGGUCAAACACGAUUUCAGCCAUGAAUCAGGCAUAAAUAUUCUGACGGUUAAUUUUAGACAUCUACUUGACUGGAUUAAGAGACACACAUAGCUGGUGAAACACGAUUUCAGCCAUGAAUCAGGCAUAAAUAUUCUGACGGUUAACUUUAGACAUCUACUUGACUGGAUUAAGAGACACACAUAGCUGGUCAAACACGAUUUCAGCCAUGAAUCAGGCAUAAAUAUUCUGACGGUUAACUUUAGACAUCUACUUGAUUGGAUUGAGAGACACACAUAGCUGGUCAAACACAAUUUCAGCCAUGAAUCAGGCAUAAAUAUUCUGACGGUUAAUUUUAGACAUCUACUUGACUGGAUUAAGGGACACACACAGCUGGUCAAACAAUUUCAGCCAUGAAUCAGGCAUAAAUAUUCUGACAGUUAAUUUUAGACAUCUACUUGAGUGGAUUAAGAGACACACAUAGCUGGUCAAACACGAUUUCUGGGCAUAUCUAUGAGGGUGUUUCUGGAAGACACUGAGAUAACCAUGACCCAAUGUGGAUGGGCACUGAUAUGGUUUGGCUGUGUCCCCACCCAGAUCUCAUCUUGAAUUGUAGUUCCUGUAAUACCUACAUGUCGUGGGAGGGACCCAGUGGGAGGUGACUGAAUCAUGGUGGUGGUUACCGCCAUGCUGUUCUCAUGACAGUGAGUGAGUUCUCAUGAUCUGAUGGUUUUAUAAGGGGCUUUUCCCCUUUGGGUCAGCACUUCUUGUUGCUGCCAUGUGAAGAGGGAUAGCUUUGCUUCCCCUUCUGCCAUGAUUGUGAGGCCCCUGCAGCCAUGUGGAACUGUCAGCC
RNAcentral lists this long non-coding RNA (3256 nucleotides) under Homo sapiens (human). RNAcentral's name for it is "MZF1 antisense RNA 1". The record is from RNAcentral. Lineage: Eukaryota; Metazoa; Chordata; Mammalia; Primates; Hominidae.